This 1191-nucleotide long non-coding RNA is filed under the name Gouania willdenowi (blunt-snouted clingfish). RNAcentral describes it as "lncRNA (ENSGWIG00000009695.1)". Lineage: Eukaryota; Metazoa; Chordata; Actinopteri; Blenniiformes; Gobiesocidae. The record is from RNAcentral.
AUGUUAGAUAUAGACAGGUUAGAUACAGACAGGUUAGAUAUAGACAAGUUAGAUAUAGACAGGUUAGAUACAGACAGGUUAGAUAUAGACAAGUUAGAUAUAGACAAGUUAGAUAUAGACAGGUUAGAUAUAGACAGGUUAGAUAUAGACAGGUUAGAUACAGACAAGUUAGAUAUAGACAAGUUAGAUAUAGACAAGUUAGAUAUAGACAAGUUAGAUAUAGACAGGUUAGAUACAGACAGGUUAGAUACAGACAGGUUAGAUAUAGACAGGUUCGAUAUAGACAGGUUAGAUACAGACAAGUUAGAUAUAGACAAGCUAGAUGUAGACAGGUUAGAUACAGACAGGUUAGAUAUAGACAAGUUAGAUACAGACAGGUUAGAUAUAGACAGGUUAGAUAUAGACAAGUUAGAUAUAGACAGGUUAGAUACAGACAGGUUAGAUACAGACAGGUUAGAUAUAGACAGGUUAGAUGUUAGAUAUAGACAGGUUAGAUACAGACAGGUUAGAUACAGACAGGUUAGAUAUAGACAAGUUAGAUAUAGACAGGUUAGAUACAGACAGGUUAGAUAUAGACAAGUUAGAUAUAGACAAGUUAGAUAUAGACAGGUUAGAUAUAGACAGGUUAGAUACAGACAAGUUAGAUAUAGACAAGUUAGAUAUAGACAAGUUAGAUAUAGACAAGUUAGAUAUAGACAGGUUAGAUACAGACAGGUUAGAUACGACAUGUUAGAUAUAGACAGGUUCGAUAUAGACAGGUUAGAUACAGACAAGUUAGAUAUAGACAAGCUAGAUGUAGACAGGUUAGAUACAGACAGGUUAGAUAUAGACAAGUUAGAUACAGACAGGUUAGAUAUAGACAAGUUAGAUAUAGACAGGUUAGAUAUAGACAGGUUAGAUAUAGACAAGUUAGAUAUAGACAGGUUAGAUAUAGACAGGUUAGAUAUAGACAGGUUAGAUAUAGACAGGUUAGAUAUAGACAGGUUAGAUAUAGACAGGUUAGAUAUAGACAGGUUAGAUAUAGACAAGUUAGAUAUAGACAGGUUUAGAUACAGACAGGUUAGAUAUAGACAAGUUAGAUAUAGACAGGUUAGAUAUAGACAGGUUAGAUAUAGACAGGUUCGAUAUAGACAGGUUAGAUACAGACAAGUUAGAUAUAGACAAGCUAGAUGUAGACAGGUUAGAGUAUAG